GUAUCUGCCCUUUGGCCUGGAAUAACACGAGGAAACUUGUGCUAAUACCGGAUAAGUCUUUACGGAGAAAGCUUUAUGCACCAUUGGAUGAGCCUGCACUUGAUUAGUUUGUUGGUGGGGUAAUGGCCUACCAAGACUGUGAUCAAUAGCUGAUUUGAGAGGAUGAUCAGCCACAUUGGGACUGAGACACGGCCCAAACUCCUACGGGAGGCAGCAGUGGGGAAUCUUGCACAAUGGAGGAAACUCUGAUGCAGCGAUGCCGCGUGAGUGAAGAAGGCCCUUGGGUUGUAAAGCUCUUUCGUCGGGGAAG
RNAcentral lists this ribosomal RNA (310 nucleotides) under uncultured bacterium. Its description in RNAcentral is "bacterial SSU rRNA". It matches the Rfam family "Bacterial small subunit ribosomal RNA", at positions 121 to 447 of the family's 1533-position model. The record is from RNAcentral.